RNAcentral lists this ribosomal RNA (486 nucleotides) under uncultured bacterium. RNAcentral describes it as "partial 16S ribosomal RNA". It matches the Rfam family "Bacterial small subunit ribosomal RNA", at positions 30 to 507 of the family's 1533-position model. The record is from RNAcentral.
AUUGAACGCUGGCGGCAUGCCUUACACAUGCAAGUCGAACGGCAGCACGGGUGCUUGCACCUGGUGGCGAGUGGCGAACGGGUGAGUAAUACAUCGGAACAUGUCCUGUAGUGGGGGAUAGCCCGGCGAAAGCCGGAUUAAUACCGCAUACGAUCUACGGAUGAAAGCGGGGGACCUUCGGGCCUCGCGCUAUGGGGUUGGCCGAUGGCGGAUUAGCUAGUUGGUGGGGUAAAGGCCUACCAAGGCGACGAUCAGUAGAUGGUCUGAGAGGACGACCAGCCACACUGGGACUGAGACACGGCCCAGACUCCUACGGGAGGCAGCAGUGGGGAAUUUUGGACAAUGGGCGAAAGCCUGAUCCAGCAAUGCCGCGUGUGUGAAGAAGGCCUUCGGGUUGUAAAGCACUUUUGUCCGGAAAGAAAUCCUUGGCUCUAAUACAGUCGGGGGAUGACGGUACCGGAAGAAUAAGCACCGGCUAACUACGUG